Molecule: ribosomal RNA, 252 nt
Filed under: uncultured bacterium
Lineage: Bacteria
Description: partial 16S ribosomal RNA
Rfam family: Bacterial small subunit ribosomal RNA
Source: RNAcentral
ACGGAGGGUGCAAGCGUUAAUCGGAAUUACUGGGCGUAAAGGGUUCGUAGGUGGUUAGAUAAGUUAUCUGUAAAAUCCCUGGGCUUAACCUGGGCAGGUCAGAUAAGACUGUUUGACUCGAGUAUGGGAGAGGGUAGUGGAAUUUCCGGUGUAGCGGUGAAAUGCGUAGAGAUCGGAAGGAACACCAGUGGCGAAGGCGGCUACCUGGCCUAAUACUGACACUGAGGAACGAAAGCGUGGGGAGCAAACAGG